This 290-nucleotide ribosomal RNA is filed under the name uncultured Oscillospiraceae bacterium. RNAcentral describes it as "partial 16S ribosomal RNA". It matches the Rfam family "Bacterial small subunit ribosomal RNA", at positions 1094 to 1382 of the family's 1533-position model. The record is from RNAcentral. Lineage: Bacteria; Bacillati; Bacillota; Clostridia; Eubacteriales; Oscillospiraceae.
GAGCGCAACCCCUGUGGUUAGUUGCCAGCAAGUAGCGUUGGGCACUCUAGCCAGACUGCCGGUGAUAAAUCGGAGGAAGGUGGGGACGACGUCAAAUCAUCAUGCCCUUUAUGUCCUGGGCUACACACGUACUACAAUGGCCGUUACAACGGGAAGCGAAGGAGCAAUCCGGAGCAAAUCCCUUAAAGGCGGGUCCCAGUUCAGAUUGUGGGCUGAAACUCGCCCACAUGAAGGCGGAAUUGCUAGUAAUUGCAGAUCAGCAUGCUGCAGUGAAUACGUUCCCGGGCCUU